CCUACGGGUGGCUGCAGUGGGGAAUAUUGCACAAUGGGCGCAAGCCUGAUGCAGCCAUGCCGCGUGUAUGAAGAAGGCCUUCGGGUUGUAAAGUACUUUCAGUCGUGAGGAAGGUGUUAAGGUUAAUAACCUUAGCAAUUGACGUUAGCGACAGAAGAAGCACCGGCUAACUCCGUGCCAGCAGCCGCGGUAAUACGGAGGGUGCGAGCGUUAAUCGGAAUUACUGGGCGUAAAGGGCACGCAGGCGGUUAAUUAAGUGGGAGGGGAGAUCCCCGGGCAUAACCUGGGGAUGGCAUUCAAGACUGGUUAGCUAGAGGCUUGUAGAGGGGGGUAGAGUUGGAUGUGUGGCGGUGAAAUGCGUAGAGAUGUGGAGGGAUACCGGUGGCGAAGGCGGCCCCCUGAGCAAAGAGUGACGCUCAUGUGCGAAAGCGUGGGGAGCAAACAGGAUUAGAUACCCCUGUAGUC
Molecule: ribosomal RNA, 465 nt
Filed under: uncultured Arsenophonus sp.
Lineage: Bacteria; Pseudomonadati; Pseudomonadota; Gammaproteobacteria; Enterobacterales; Morganellaceae
Description: bacterial SSU rRNA
Rfam family: Bacterial small subunit ribosomal RNA
Source: RNAcentral